Molecule: ribosomal RNA, 761 nt
Filed under: uncultured Pseudoalteromonas sp.
Lineage: Bacteria; Pseudomonadati; Pseudomonadota; Gammaproteobacteria; Alteromonadales; Pseudoalteromonadaceae
Description: bacterial SSU rRNA
Rfam family: Bacterial small subunit ribosomal RNA
Source: RNAcentral
AAAACGACUGCUAAUACCGCAUAAUGUCUACGGACCAAAGGGGGCUUCGGCUCUCGCCUUUAGAUUGGCCCAAGUGGGAUUAGCUAGUUGGUGAGGUAAUGGCUCACCAAGGCGACGAUCCCUAGCUGGUUUGAGAGGAUGAUCAGCCACACUGGGACUGAGACACGGCCCAGACUCCUACGGGAGGCAGCAGUGGGGAAUAUUGCACAAUGGGCGCAAGCCUGAUGCAGCCAUGCCGCGUGUGUGAAGAAGGCCUUCGGGUUGUAAAGCACUUUCAGUCAGGAGGAAAGGUUAGUAGUUAAUACCUGCUAGCUGUGACGUUACUGACAGAAGAAGCACCGGCUAACUCCGUGCCAGCAGCCGCGGUAAUACGGAGGGUGCGAGCGUUAAUCGGAAUUACUGGGCGUAAAGCGUACGCAGGCGGUUUGUUAAGCGAGAUGUGAAAGCCCCGGGCUCAACCUGGGAACUGCAUUUCGAACUGGCAAACUAGAGUGUGAUAGAGGGUGGUAGAAUUUCAGGUGUAGCGGUGAAAUGCGUAGAGAUCUGAAGGAAUACCGAUGGCGAAGGCAGCCACCUGGGUCAACACUGACGCUCAUGUACGAAAGCGUGGGGAGCAAACGGGAUUAGAUACCCCGGUAGUCCACGCCGUAAACGAUGUCUACUAGAAGCUCGGAGCCUCGGUUCUGUUUUUCAAAGCUAACGCAUUAAGUAGACCGCCUGGGGAGUACGGCCGCAAGGUUAAAACUCAAAGGAAUUGACGG